ACUCCUACGGGAGGCAGCAGUGGGGAAUUUUGGACAAUGGGGGCAACCCUGAUCCAGCCAUGCCGCGUGAGUGAAGAAGGCCUUCGGGUUGUAAAGCUCCUUCGGCCGGAACGAAAUCGCGUACGUGAAUAACGUGCGUGGAUGACGGUACUGGAAGAAGAAGCACCGGCUAACUACGUGCCAGCAGCCGCGGUAAUACGUAUGGUGCGAGCGUUAAUCGGAAUUACUGGGCGUAAAGCGUGCGCAGGCGGUUCUGCAAGUCAGAUGUGAAAUCCCCGGGCUUAACCUGGGAACUGCGUUUGAAACUACGGAGCUAGAGUACGGCAGAGGGGGGUGGAAUUCCACGUGUAGCAGUGAAGUGCGUAGAUAUGUGGAGGAACACCGAUGGCGAAGGCAGCCCCCUGGGCCGAUACUGACGCUCAGGCACGAAAGCGUGGGGAGCAAACAGGAUUAGAUACCCUGGUAGUCCACGCCCUAAACUAUGUCAACUAGUUGUCGGGAAAGCAAUUUCUUGGUAACGAAGCUAACGCGUGAAGUUGACCGCCUGGGGAGUACGGUCGCAAGAUUAAAACUCAAAGGAAUUGACGG
RNAcentral lists this ribosomal RNA (588 nucleotides) under uncultured Rhodocyclaceae bacterium. RNAcentral describes it as "bacterial SSU rRNA". It matches the Rfam family "Bacterial small subunit ribosomal RNA", at positions 335 to 916 of the family's 1533-position model. The record is from RNAcentral. Lineage: Bacteria; Pseudomonadati; Pseudomonadota; Betaproteobacteria; Rhodocyclales; Rhodocyclaceae.